UACGUAGGGGGCUAGCGUUGUCCGGAUUUAUUGGGCGUAAAGAGCGUGUAGGCGGCCAGGUAGGUCUGCUGUGAAAACUCGAGGCUCAACCUCGAGACGUCGGCGGAAACCAUCUGGCUAGAGUCCGGAAGAGGAGAGUGGAAUUCCUGGUGUAGCGGUGAAAUGCGCAGAUAUCAGGAAGAACACCCGUGGCGAAGUCGGCUCUCUGGGACGGUACUGACGCUGAGACGCGAAAGCGUGGGGAGCGAACAGG
This 253-nucleotide ribosomal RNA is filed under the name uncultured bacterium. RNAcentral's name for it is "partial 16S ribosomal RNA". It matches the Rfam family "Bacterial small subunit ribosomal RNA", at positions 524 to 776 of the family's 1533-position model. The record is from RNAcentral.